GUGCCAGCCGCGCGGUAAUACGGUGGGUGCAAGCGCUGUCCGGAAUCACUGGGCGUAAAGGGUGCGCAGGCGGGGCAGCAAGUCGGAGGUGAAAGCCCGUGGCUCAACCACGGAAGUGCCUUCGAAACUGUUGCUCUUGAGUCCCGGAGAGGUUGCCGGAAUUCGUGGUGUAGCGGUGAAAUGCGUAGAUAUCACGAGGAACACCAGAGGCGAAAGCGGGCAACUGGACGGGUACUGACGCUCAGGCACGAAAGCGCGGAGAGCAAACAGGAUUGGAAACCCGAGUAGUCC
This 291-nucleotide ribosomal RNA is filed under the name uncultured bacterium. RNAcentral's name for it is "partial 16S ribosomal RNA". It matches the Rfam family "Bacterial small subunit ribosomal RNA", at positions 505 to 796 of the family's 1533-position model. The record is from RNAcentral.